UACGGAGGGUGCAGGCGUUAUCCGGAUUCACUGGGUUUAAAGGGUGCGUAGGUGGGCAGGUAAGUCAGUGGUGAAAUCUCCGGGCUUAACUCGGAAACUGCCAUUGAUACUAUCUGUCUUGAAUACCGUGGAGGUUAGCGGAAUAUGUCAUGUAGCGGUGAAAUGCUUAGAUAUGACAUAGAACACCAAUUGCGAAGGCAGCUGGCUACACGAAUAUUGACACUGAUGCACGAAAGCGUGGGGAUCAAACAGG
Molecule: ribosomal RNA, 253 nt
Filed under: uncultured bacterium
Lineage: Bacteria
Description: partial 16S ribosomal RNA
Rfam family: Bacterial small subunit ribosomal RNA
Source: RNAcentral